Molecule: ribosomal RNA, 462 nt
Filed under: uncultured bacterium
Lineage: Bacteria
Description: partial 16S ribosomal RNA
Rfam family: Bacterial small subunit ribosomal RNA
Source: RNAcentral
GACGAACGCUGGCGGCGUGCUUAACACAUGCAAGUCGAACGGUGAACCUCUUCGGAGGGGAUCAGUGGCGAACGGGUGAGUAACACGUGGGCAACCUGCCCCCGGCUCUGGGAUAACUCCAAGAAAUUGGGGCUAAUACCGGAUGUUCACCGCUUCCCGCAUGGGUGGUGGUGGAAAGGGUUUCCGGCUGGGGAUGGGCCCGCGGCCUAUCAGCUUGUUGGUGGGGUAGUGGCCUACCAAGGCGACGACGGGUAGCCGGCCUGAGAGGGUGACCGGCCACACUGGGACUGAGACACGGCCCAGACUCCUACGGGAGGCAGCAGUGGGGAAUAUUGCGCAAUGGGCGGAAGCCUGACGCAGCGACGCCGCGUGGGGGAUGACGGCCUCGGGUUGUAAACCUCUUUCAGCAGGGACGAAGCGCAAGUGACGGUACCUGCAGAAGAAGCACCGGCCAACUACGUG